This 1192-nucleotide long non-coding RNA is filed under the name Homo sapiens (human). RNAcentral describes it as "non-protein coding lnc-NANOGP8-4:2". Lineage: Eukaryota; Metazoa; Chordata; Mammalia; Primates; Hominidae. The record is from RNAcentral.
AUGUCCCUGUACGAUCAGAGGAAACCAGUGACUCAAAAACAGAAGGCUGGUCCAAAAACUUCAAACUUCUACAGUCUCAGCUUCAGGUGAAGAAGGCAGCUCUCACUCAGGCAAAGAGCCAAAGGACGAAACAAGGUACAGUUCUUGCCCCAGUCAUUGACCUACAACGAGGUGGCUCCUCAGAUGACCGGGCAAAUUGUGGACACACCACCGCAUGUGCCAGCUGGGCUGAAGGAUCCUGUUCCCAGUGGGUUUUCUGCAGGGGAAGUUCUGAUUCCCUUAGCUGACGAAUAUGAUCCUAUGUUUCCUAACGAUUGUAAGAAAGUAGUGAAACGCCAGAGAGGAAGGACAAAGACAGCGGGAGCUGGAAAGACAGAAGAAAUAGAAGAAAGAGAAGAAAGGCAUAAAUACAGACAUGAUGCACGUGAGUUUUCAAGGAGUUCAGAUCCGGAUUCUGAUGAAGAUGAAGAUUAGGAGCGAGAGAAGAGGAAAACAAGUAUGGGCGGAGCUGCCAUUGCCUCACCCACUUCUCUGGCAGUAAAAGACAGUUACCCCGAGAUUUUCCUUAUGAAGAGGACUCAAGACCUCGAUCACAGUCUUCCAAAACUGCCAUUCCUCCCCCAGUGUACGAGGAACAAGACAGACCGAGAUCUCCAACCCGGCCCAGCGCAACUCCUUCCUCGCUAACUUGGGGGGCACGGUGGCGCACAAGAUCAUACAGAAGUACGGCUUCCGGGAGGGCCAGGGUCUGGGGAAGCAUGAGCAGGGGCUGAGCACCGCCUUUUCGGUGGAGAAGACCAGCAAGCUUGGUGGCAAGAUCAUCGUGGGUGACGCCACGGAGAAAGAUGCAUCCAAGAAGUCAGAUUCAAAUCCACUGACUGAAAUACUUAAGUGUCUUAAUAAAGUGGUCCUACUAAGGAACAUGGUUGGUGCGGGAAAGGUGGAUGAAGACUUGGAAGUUAAAACCAAGGAAGAACGUGAAAAAUAUCUCAAAGUUGGGGAAAGUGUGUUGUUUGAAAUUCUGGUGCCCCUGAUGAUGAAGCAGUACGGAUAUUUUUAGAAUUUGAGAGAGUUAAAUCAGCAAUUCAAGCGGUUAUUGACUCGAAUGGGAGGUAUUUUGGUGGACAGGUGGCAAAUGCAUGUUUCUACAAUUUGGAAAAAUUCAGUAUCUUGGAUUUGGCAGAACAAGUUU